RNAcentral lists this unclassified non-coding RNA (337 nucleotides) under soil metagenome. Its description in RNAcentral is "partial contains 5.8S ribosomal RNA, internal transcribed spacer 2, and large subunit ribosomal RNA". The stretch from base 1 to 120 matches the Rfam family "5.8S ribosomal RNA", at positions 35 to 154 of the family's 154-position model. The record is from RNAcentral.
GAUGAAGAACGUAGCGAAAUGCGAUAAGUAGUGUGAAUUGCAGAAUUCAGUGAAUCAUCGAAUCUUUGAACGCACAUUGCGCCCCUUGGUAUUCCAUGGGGCAUGCCUGUUCGAGCGUCAUUUGUACCUUCAAGCUCUGCUUGGUGUUGGGUGUUUGUCUCGCCUCUGCGUGUAGACUCGCCUCAAAACAAUUGGCAGCCGGCGUAUUGAUUUCGGAGCGCAGUACAUCUCGCGCUUUGCACUCAUAACGACGACGUCCAAAAGUACAUUUUUACACUCUUGACCUCGGAUCAGGUAGGGAUACCCGCUGAACUUAAGCAUAUCAAUAAGCGCAGGA